GGGCAGGUAGUUAAACCUGGCAUAAUGCCCCGUUGGCUUCGGGGAGGCUCCGGGUUCAAAGGGCGAGAGCUUUUUACAAAAAACCUCGGAAAAAGUGAGUGUUGAGGCUAAUGCCUCAAGCACUCGGUUACGAAAAAUUGGCUCUAGCCUGAAAGUCCCGGCCUGUCCA
This 169-nucleotide transfer RNA is filed under the name Candidatus Woesearchaeota archaeon. RNAcentral describes it as "tRNA-Ala". The record is from RNAcentral. Lineage: Archaea; Nanobdellati; Candidatus Woesearchaeota.